AUUGAACGCUGGCGGCAGGCCUAACACAUGCAAGUCGAGCGGAUGAAGGGGGCGUGCUCCUGGAUGCAGCGGCGGACGGGUGAGUAAUGCCUAGGAAGCUGCCUGGUAGUGGGGGAUAACGUCCGGUAACGGGCGCUAAGACCGCAUACGUCCUGAGGUAGAAAGUGGGGGAUCCUCGGAGCUCACGCUAUCAGAUGAGCCUAGGUCGGAUUAGCUAGUUGGUGGGGUAAAGGCCUACCAAGGCGACGAACCGUAACUGGUCUGAGAGGAGGAUCAGUCACAAUGGAACUGAGACACGGUCCCGAAUCCUACGGGAGGCAGCAGUUGGGAAUAUUUGCGCAUGGGCGAAAGCCUGAUCCAGGCAUGGCGGGGGUGUGAAGAAGGUUUUCGGAUUGUAAAACAUCUUAAGUUGGGAGGAAGGGUAGUAAGUUAAUACCUUGCUGUUUUGAAGUUACCAACAGAAUAAGGCCCGGCUAACUUCGUG
This 484-nucleotide ribosomal RNA is filed under the name uncultured bacterium. RNAcentral describes it as "partial 16S ribosomal RNA". It matches the Rfam family "Bacterial small subunit ribosomal RNA", at positions 30 to 507 of the family's 1533-position model. The record is from RNAcentral.